AUCUAUAGAUAUCAUAUGUGUAUGUAAUAAACAUGUGUAUUCCAAUCCAAAUAAUCUGGAUUUAAGAACUAGAAGGUUAUUGCAACUAAAAAAAUAGCAUCAGGUAAUUCUGGUGGUUUUUCUUUUUAAUAGAAUUUAAGCCAAAUUUAUAUUUAUAUUAAAGUGGAAAGAAUCAUGUGACUGUAAUAUUACAACUGUCCAGAAUUACUGAGAAAAACCUGAAGAAUGAACUCACCGGCCAUUUGAAGCUAUUGAACAAGGUGUUCUCACUUGAUUUGCUUUUUUUCAAAGACCUUGUUGGAAACUCUCACUGCACAGAAAGGCAAGUAAUUAUCAUGCUGUGAGUGUUUUAGAGCCCCAGCCUUGAUUGCCUUCAAAGUAAGUCUGGUUAUCAAAGAUGGCACAGGUUGGGGACCAGAGGACUUUGGAGAUUUAGAGGACGAUGUGGGUGGAUUUUGGAUGUAGGCCUUGUAACCCUUGGUCUGAGGGUUGUUUGGCAUCUGACUUUAAUUUGAAGAGAUUGUUAGCACCUGAGGACAGAGCUGACCACUUUGUGACCUGAUAGAUUACCAUUAACCACUCUGAGAUAGGCUGGAUGUGGGCGUGGCUUAUUCCCAGCCAGGCAUUCACCUGAAGCAUUUGAUGUUUAGGUAGACUCCGGAAAUGAAGACUUGAAAACAUCGUCCAUGUGGUUUUCUUGCGUACUCUCAAACCCUGCCAGAGUCAUUUAUAAUGGAGCGAGCAAACACGUACUGCCAUCCUGUGAGACCAGACGUCCCGAUGAAUGAGUAUUCCACCGUUGUACAGAAAGAAACAGGAAAUGACUCUCGAGGAGUCUCAACGUUUUAAUUAUGUCAUUGUCCUCCGCUGGCUCUCUCCCAACGCUGACAGUUCACACAGUUGGUCCCAGCUUCUAUCCUCAUGAUCUAAGAUGGUGCCUGAAGUACCAGACACAUUAUCUGAGUCCUAGAUAAGAAGAAAGAAGAAUUGGGAGCAGAUCAAAUGGAAUGCUUUCCACACCCAAUAUGCCUUCAACUCAACUUCCUUUAACUCCUAUCCGAUGGAAACCCAGCUGUACAAUGAAAACUCCUGCCCAGAAUGAUGGAAGACAGUAUGUGACCCAAGUGCCUGAUUAUUCCUUAGAGCUGGAAUAAAUGCUAACAUGAUCUAGAAUUAUUUCCUACAUGCUGGCCUGAACUGAAAAUGUGUACUUCUAAAAGAUUUGAUUUCGGCAGAAAAUUUAGUUGAGCUGAAUCCUCUGUGACCUGAAUACUCCAGUGAGCAGUGUGUACCUUCAAUAAUGUAACCAGAGACAAUAAUGAUUGAGGAAAUACCUAAGAUGUAAUUAUAAUAGUUACUAUUUUGUUCUAGCAUUUGCUUUAUGACACGUCCUUUAUCUUAACAGUGCUACUAGGUAGGUAGUGUUAUCUCCCUUUUUCUGAUAAGAAAAUAGAAGCUUACAGAAGUUAAAUAAGUUCCCAAGAUCAGAAGGCAAUGACACAGAUCUGGGAGACUCCAGAGGCCCUGUUUCUUCUACAAUGGGAGGCCAACUUCCAGCCCAGGCCCAGCUGGGUUCACCUUUUCCUGGGGAGAGAGGGCUUCGGCAGAGAGCAGCUGUGAGGCCAGGAUGACUUUCCAGAGAAGAGUGUGGUGUCAGAGGCCAUCACACAGCCUGCAGAUUCUCUUCCCAGACCACCCUGCUAAGCAGUCUGUGAGCUUUGAAGUUAUCAUUUUAUUUAUGGAAUGAUGGGGUUGUGGAUCAAGAGGAAAAAACAUAAAGACUAGUUUCAUUGAGCAUUUAUUAAAAAAAAUAAUACACACAUGCCUUUAUAAGGAAUGGAAUGGAAGCCUUGUCUCCCAACUGCAACGACAGGAUGAAUUCCUCGGGAAUUAAUGGGAACAUCUUGUCGUCCCAGAGACCCUACCUCCCACCUUGCUAGGACUGAGCCCUUGGCCUUAUCCAAGGAAUACACAUAAAUCAUGGUGAAUGGGAAGGCUGGGUACAGGACUGUCCAGCCAGCGGGGUGAGAGCACCUACAAAGAACACAAGUGGAAAGGAGCUAAAAUCAAGCCAGGGGGAUGGGGACUCAAGACCUGGCCCACUCAGCACGCUGCCUUCAUCCUGUUCUCACCAGCCCUUGAUUUUGAUUUUUUUAAAUAAUUUAUCAAAUUUGGCCCCUUCUGGCCCUCUUGCUUCUUCCUUGAAAAAACAAAAACAAAAACAAAAACAAAAACCCCACACGCAUUUGGAGGGACUUUGCAAUAUCACCAGAAUGAUGCUGUGCCAAGUUGAGCCUAGAGCCCCUCCUUGCCUGGCUCUCUCAUCUGACUGCAUCCCACCCCUGUGGUGUUCCAGCCAGGACGAUACAACCAUGAAACCCCUUAUGUCAGUUUCUUCCAGCUCUGUCAUCAUUUUGGGGGGAUCCAGACUGAAUCCUCCGGGCCCCAGAAAGUGAAGGCAGAACCGUUCCUUGGCCAGGAUGGGGCCAAGGCUCAGUGUGGGAGCACAGAAGGAGCACACGCUGACCUCCCAGCUUCGUGUCUCAUUGGCCUUUGGAGUCUCUGCUGAGGCCCAGAGCAGAGCUGCUUCCCUCGGCGUGCAGAACAAAGGCUCAGGAAAUGCUGUGGAAUCCAGGUUUGCUCUUCAGGUGUAAGAGGCACCUCCUUGUGGUGAAAGCCCCCUCAUCUCCCACUGGGAGGAAGUGUGAGUGUCUGGAAGACAUUUUGCUAGGAUGAUGUGGACAUUAUAGACAUGUAAACAGCAAGAUAGACUUUACUAGGAAGCAGAAAGGGGAGAGAUUUUGAGUGCUGAAGCAAAUUCUAACCCUUACAAAGAGAAAAUUAAGGGUGAAUAGCCCGGAAGUGUAAUGAAGCUCUCACAUUUUUACCUGAUUCCAUCGGUGUCUUCUACAGCAGGUGAUGAUGUUGCCCAACAGUGAGCUGCUUUCCCAAGAGCUGCAUUUCUGUACUCCCCACUCCACCCCGACCUUGGUCUGCUUCCAGCCUCAACCCUCCAAGGCCCCUGCACUUGACAUCUGGGCAGUCUGCCUACUGCAUGGAUGGGGACCCUCCCUUUGGACUCCUUCCCAUGAUCUGUGCCUCCCCCUACCCAUUCCUUUCCACACUAUCUGUUCUCAGUGCACAUCUGACCUCUUAACAUGAGGAUGCUCAUGGUACCUUCUAGAAGGAGGCUUCUCUCAUGGAGUGCAUGGGCCCUAGGAUCCCAGGAAAGGAGCAGCUCCAGUUUCCCUAGUGGUGAGCAUGUGCCGUCAAAGUAUAUGGUUAUGGUAGCACAUCACCAGCGAAGGAAAGAAGCUGUAGAUGGAAAUGGGGUUCAGCAGAGGAUCAGAAUCACAGAUGGCAGAGAAAAGAAUGAGGCCGUAUGGGAACCUGCAGAUGGGAGUAAGCAUGGGUGGCACAGUGGGGAAAGGAGAUGGGCCAGUCUCCAUUAGUAUUAUGGUCUUAAGAAAUCCAAAUGUCCCCAGAUCCCCGGAUCAUGGAGAUAAUGCAUGGGCAAUGCCGACAGUGCUAUUUGGUUGGACCCCCACCCUCUCACCUUUGUGUCCUCCCCUUUUUCCCUAGAAGGUCUAGACAGCCUGCUCGAUUCUUGGUGUUGACCGUUUAGUCAAAGCUAUUAUCAGCUUCACUGCUGCCAUGUCCUCUGUCAUGGUUGUCUUGGGUUUGUCCCUCCAGUGACCACAAGGCCUUUUGAUAUCUUGGAAUUGAAUCUGACUCUUUCAGUUUACACCAUCAUCCACUGAGGAACUUUGAAAGGCCUCCCUGGCUCAGGCCAGAUGUCAUUUGUGACCCCAGUGUGUGUGAUAUUGAGAAGUGUCCAUCGGCAGAGGUCCCCACAUAGGACCUGCCUUUAGAUGCCUUCCUCCUGGGUGGUCCCCAAUCAUCAGUUCAUCUUUCUUACCUCCCCGCCGCUCUUCCAGAAAAUCAAGGCAGCAUUUGCUCAGGAGUGUUAACCCCAGUCUACCAGGCAUCUACUGUCAAGACCAAGUCCAUUUGUGGUUUUUUUUUCUGGGAGGCUUAGGGCUUCCUCACACAGCUAGAGGACUGCUGGUAGCUUGUCGCAUUUCACAGUUUCCAAAUUAGGCAUAUAAAGUAGCAAAAUCAUUCUUUAUGGUUAAACCUGUAGAGACCAGGCCAGACUUGUGUUUUUAAGCAAAAACACAAAAACAUUCAAUGAGAUCUUAUUAGGCCCUGAGUUAUUUUUGCGUUUGAGUGCUGGGAAUCCUUUUGAGUAAUACAAGGCAGAAUCCCUUUGGGCACAUUGGACCACCCCCAGAGAUACAAAGCGGAUUGCAGAGGCAUUCCAAAGAGAGGCUGGGAAAAACCUGACAGGAAGUAUUCCCAGAACACUCUACUCCCCAAGUCCCUGUUGGCUAAUGACUAGGGCAUAACUGUAAACACAGCAGAAGAGCUUCAAAGAAGAGCGAUUUGGACAUGUGAACAUCAGCUACUCGGCAAACAGAAAAAAUGCCCCCCUGGCUUUUGCCAACUCAUAGCACCCUGUACGCUAGGGCACUCUGACUUUAAUCAAGCAAACAUGCAUGUCUGCUGCCCACGGCCAUGUCUAAACCCCACCUCUGCACUUCCCCAGUGGGCUCCAUGUUUCAGCCAGAUUAUCCUGGCGUUGGGAAGAAGAGUGAUGGCUGAGACUCGAGGAAAGGGAAAGAGGAGGCCAAGAUGGUCAGGUUACUGGAUCUCAUUUGAUGUCCACACAAGGUGGGUUUCUGGUGCUCAUGGUCUUGAUGCACAUGACCUUGCUGAUGUCCCAGUUAAUCCUGCUCAGCACAACCUGGCCUCACAGAGCAAGACAAAUGUGCACUUGGGAAUUAGAUACGCCAAGAGCCCAAACGCCACUCUAUCACUCAGUAGACUUGAAAGCUUACCAGACCUGUUUUCUCAUCUGCACAACGGGACUGAUAAUUCCUGAUCCAUGGACAGGCCUCAUUUUGAAAUUAUAAAUAAAUAUAUUUUUGUGCUUGGCAUAUAGGAGAUAAAUAUUGCUAUUGUUAUUACUCUCUUAGUACUUCCACACAUAUUAUAAAGUAGUGACUGGUCAGUGAGUGCUUACCAUAUGCUGAAGAUUGGAUUAAAUAUUAUUAAUACACCUAUUUUGUGAUCACCCUUGUAUUAUAAAACUUGUUUUUUCAAGUCAUGACUCUUUUUUUUUUAAAUUAAAGAUUUUAUUUAUUUAUUUGACAGAGAGAGAUCACAAGUAGGCAGAGGCAGGCAGAGAGAGAGAGAGGAAGAAGCAGGCUCCCCGCCGAGCAGAGAGCCUGAUGCGGGACUCGAUCCCAGGACCCUGAGAUCAUGACCUGAGCCGAAGACAGUGGCUUAACCCACUGAGCCACCCA
Mustela lutreola (European mink) is the source of this 5369-nucleotide long non-coding RNA. RefSeq lists it as uncharacterized. The record is from RefSeq and is a predicted model, not a curated record. The transcript is spliced from 3 exons. NCBI's taxonomy places the organism in Eukaryota, Metazoa, Chordata, Mammalia, Carnivora, Mustelidae.